Molecule: microRNA precursor, 201 nt
Organism: Oryza sativa Indica Group (long-grained rice)
Lineage: Eukaryota; Viridiplantae; Streptophyta; Magnoliopsida; Poales; Poaceae
Rfam family: MIR812 microRNA precursor family
Source: Rfam
AGGGGGGCAAACCCUAAGUUUCCGUGUUCAACGUUUGACUGUCCGUCUUAUAUAAUUUUUUUUAUAAUUAGUAUUUUUAUUGGUGUUAGAUGAUAAAAUAUAAUUAAUACUUUAUACGUGACUUGUCUUUUUAAUUUUUUUUUAUAAUUUUUUCAAAUAAGACGAACGGUCAAACGUUAGAUAUGAAAAUCGAUUCUGACG